Molecule: ribosomal RNA, 467 nt
Filed under: uncultured bacterium
Lineage: Bacteria
Description: partial 16S ribosomal RNA
Rfam family: Bacterial small subunit ribosomal RNA
Source: RNAcentral
GACGAACGCUGGCGGCGUGCUUAACACAUGCAAGUCGAACGGAAAGGCCAGUGCUUGCACUGGUGCUCGAGUGGCGAACGGGUGAGUAACACGUGGGUGAUCUGCCUUGCACUCUGGGAUAAGCUUGGGAAACUGGGUCUAAUACCGGAUAGGAACCGUCUUUAGUGUGGUGGUUGGAAAGUUUUUUCGGUGCAAGAUGAGCUCGCGGCCUAUCAGCUUGUUGGUGGGGUAAUGGCCUACCAAGGCGUCGACGGGUAGCCGGCCUGAGAGGGUGUACGGCCACAUUGGGACUGAGAUACGGCCCAGACUCCUACGGGAGGCAGCAGUGGGGAAUAUUGUACAAUGGGCGGAAGCCUGAUGCAGCGACGCCGCGUGGGGGAUGACGGCCUUCGGGUUGGAAACUCCUUUCGACAGGGACGAAGCGUUAUGUGACGGUACCUGUAUAAGAAGCACCGGCUAACUACGUG